AUGUUGAUGAUGGGGGAUUAUUCUAGUCGUGAUUUGUUGGUGCGGCAAGCGGAAUCGAUGAGGCCUCUCCGAUUGGACGUUCGAGGUGAGGGCGGAAACGCAGAGGAGGGCUGCAGGGCCGGGCGGAAAAGUGAGGUCUGUUGGCGAAGGUCCUGGAACCUGCAUCGUCUAAGCUUCUGGUGACUUACACCAAGAGCCACUGAAGAUAUGCUGCUGCCCUUCCCAUGUGACAGCUGACCUGUGACCACUGUCCCCAACAAGGCCAUUGAGACCACAGGACCCCAGGACACCCAUCUAGGUAGUGGCCUGUAUCUAUAUUGACAUGGUUCCACUUGGCUGGUGGACACGAUCAGAAGUAGAUUGCAAACUGCUCCAGAGAUGAUCUGCACUGUAUCAGACCCAAGCAGUCCUACAAAACCAGAAAGCCCUGGACUUACUGAUGUGAGCCAGCCCAGAAGUCUCUUCAGUUGGGUCAGCAAACCAUAUGCUUCUGGUGAGUGCCUUACUGUCCUAAUUUCCUCCCCUACUCUGGCUAAUAGUCCAGCCUUC
Molecule: small RNA, 549 nt
Filed under: Rattus norvegicus (Norway rat)
Lineage: Eukaryota; Metazoa; Chordata; Mammalia; Rodentia; Muridae
Description: uncharacterized LOC108351660
Source: RNAcentral